AUCCUUUUGUGUUUCAUAAGCGUGAUGGUUGGAUGUUCACGCACAUGCGUGAUAUGUGCCGCCCUCAAACCUUGUUACAUACCGGCACAUUACCCAUCUGACA
This is a small nucleolar RNA of Nannospalax galili (Upper Galilee mountains blind mole rat), 103 nucleotides long. RefSeq annotates it as small nucleolar RNA U13. The transcript has a single exon. Lineage: Eukaryota; Metazoa; Chordata; Mammalia; Rodentia; Spalacidae. The record is from RefSeq and is a predicted model, not a curated record.